UGCACUGUUGGCAGGCUGGCGGGGUAAUACAGUGGGGUCUGGCGUUAAUCGGAAUUACUGGGGGUAAAGCGAUGGUAGGUGGCUCAUUAAGUCAAAGUGGAAAUCCCCGGGCUUAACCUGGGAACUGCAUGUGAUACUGGUGGUGCUAGAAUAGGUGAGAGGGAAGUAGAAUUCCAGGUGUAGCGGUGAAAUGCGUAGAGAUCUGGAGGAAUACCGAUGGCGAAGGCAGCUUCCUGGCAUAAUAUUGACACUGAGAUUCGAAAGCGUGGGUAGCAAACAGGAUUAGAUACCCCAGUAGUC
RNAcentral lists this ribosomal RNA (300 nucleotides) under uncultured Pyrobaculum sp. Its description in RNAcentral is "partial 16S ribosomal RNA". It matches the Rfam family "Bacterial small subunit ribosomal RNA", at positions 499 to 795 of the family's 1533-position model. Lineage: Archaea; Thermoproteati; Thermoproteota; Thermoprotei; Thermoproteales; Thermoproteaceae. The record is from RNAcentral.